UAGGGAAUAUUGCAAAAUGGGCGAAAGCCCGAUGCGGCAACGCCGCGUGGGCGAUGAAGGCCUUCGGGUCGUAAAGCCCUUUUUGAGGGGAUGAGGAAGGACAGUACCCUCAGAAUAAGCCUCGGCUAACUACGUGCCUGCAGCCGCGGUAAAACGUAGGAGGCGAGCGUUAUCCGGAUUUACUGGGCGUAAAGCGCGUGCAGGCGGAUUGGAGAGUUGGAUGUGAAAGCUCCCGGCUUAACUGGGAGAGGUCGUUCAAUACUUCCAGUCUUGAGUGCAGUAGAGGGAAGUGGAAUUCCGGGUGUAGUGGUGAAAUGCGUAGAUAUCCGGAGGAACACCAGUGGCGAAAGCGGCUUCCUGGACUGUAACUGACGCUCAGACGCGAAAGCUAGGGUAGCAAACG
This 403-nucleotide ribosomal RNA is filed under the name uncultured bacterium. RNAcentral's name for it is "bacterial SSU rRNA". It matches the Rfam family "Bacterial small subunit ribosomal RNA", at positions 355 to 774 of the family's 1533-position model. The record is from RNAcentral.